UAGAUUGGAUUCGAUGUGCUUUAUAUUAUCAAAGAUUUUUUGAAGAAAGCGUCAUCUCUUUGGGACACUGCAAUCUGGUUGUUGAGUGAUGACAUAAGAAAUCAUCUCAGUUGUUCUCCUGACUAAAGUUUGGUCUGUUUACACCAUCUUUUUCCUGCCAUGCGAUUCCAUUUGUCCCUAACCAUCAGGAACCCUCAUUUUAACUUUUAUUGAGAGGAAAAAAGUUAACCACACAGAGUUCGAGUAGCAGACACAUCUCUACGUCAACUGUUCAGAGGACAAUCCUUGAAUCAGGCCUUCAUGGUCAAAUAGCUGCAAAGAAACCACUACUAAGGAAACGCAACAAGCAGAAGAGAUUGGUUUGGGCCAAGAAGCACAAGGAAUGAACAUUAGACCAGUGGAAAUCUGUGCUUUGGUCUGAUAAGUCCGAAUUUGAGAUCCUUGGUUCCACCUGCCGUGUCUUUGUGCGAUGCAGAAAAGGUGAACGGAUGGUCUCUACAUACAUGGUUUCCACUGUGAAGCCAUGGAGGAGGUGUGAUCAACGUGUGUCAAGUGCUUUGCUGAUGACACUGUUGGGAAUUUAUUCAAAGUUUAAUCACACUGAACAGUAACAUGCGGGGCGAGGGGCUUGAGCACCUGCCCCUUUCCUGAUGGGUGCCCCAAAUGCCCUUUUCCUGAGGCAAAUUUUUAUUUAUUUUUUUUAUUUUUAUUAUUUUUUUUAAUGUGUGCGUGCCCGUGGAGUCCUGCCUGUGCCCCUCAACAAUAACAUUUAACUAUUAAUCACAGUUUUGCGAAAUAAAAGGAUCUGGCUUGCAUCAGUCACAUGACUACCAUUAACCAAUGAUCGCCCUUGACGGAAGAGCGCGCUGGUUAUGAACUGGGAACGAGCACGCGCAUUUUUUGCCGUCUGAGCCGUCGGAGAAACACAGGUUAAUUGGGAGAGGCAGACUGAUGCAAGAAAACCCAUCUACAGUCCCAGAUCAACAGAGCCCUUCCCUCCGGCACUAUCAGCAGCAGCAACCCCUCAACAGUGCCAUUGUACCGCAUCAGGUCCACAGCGGGGACAGGUCUCUCCAGCACCAGGAUCAGUUCUUUGCCAAGGUCGAACCACUCCAGCAAGGACACAGGUGCUGAUGUUCCCACUGACCCUUCUGCUUCACCUGCAAGUUUCAGCAUAAUGGCCAC
Oreochromis niloticus (Nile tilapia) is the source of this 1185-nucleotide long non-coding RNA. RefSeq lists it as uncharacterized. The record is from RefSeq and is a predicted model, not a curated record. Lineage: Eukaryota; Metazoa; Chordata; Actinopteri; Cichliformes; Cichlidae. The transcript has 3 exons.